CAGGUGCUGCAUGGCUGUCGUCAGCUCGUGUUGUGAAAUGUUGGGUUAAGUCCCGCAACGAGCGCAACCCUUAUCCUUUGUUGCCAGCGAUUCGGUCGGGAACUCAAAGGAGACUGCCGGUGAUAAACCGGAGGAAGGUGGGGAUGACGUCAAGUCAUCAUGGCCCUUACGAGUAGGGCUACACACGUGCUACAAUGGCGCAUACAAAGAGAAGCGACCUCGCGAGAGCAAGCGGACCUCACAAAGUGCGUCGUAGUCCGGAUCGGAGUCUGCAACUCGACUCCGUGAAGUCGGAAUCGCUAGUAAUCGUGGAUCAGAAUGCCACGGUGAA
Molecule: ribosomal RNA, 331 nt
Filed under: Pantoea sp.
Lineage: Bacteria; Pseudomonadati; Pseudomonadota; Gammaproteobacteria; Enterobacterales; Erwiniaceae
Description: bacterial SSU rRNA
Rfam family: Bacterial small subunit ribosomal RNA
Source: RNAcentral